RNAcentral lists this ribosomal RNA (482 nucleotides) under uncultured bacterium. RNAcentral's name for it is "partial 16S ribosomal RNA". It matches the Rfam family "Bacterial small subunit ribosomal RNA", at positions 29 to 507 of the family's 1533-position model. The record is from RNAcentral.
AUUGAACGCUGGCGGCAGGCCUAACACAUGCAAGUCGAGCGGAAGGAGGGAGCUUGCUCCUGGAUUCAGCGGCGGACGGGUGAGUAAUGCCCAGGAAUCUGCCUGGUAGUGGGGGAUAACGUCCGGAAACGGGCGCUAAUAACGCAUACGACCUGAGGGAGAAAGUGGGGGAUCUUCGGACCGCACGCUCUCAGAUGAGCCUAGGUCGGGUUAUCGAGUUGGUGGGGUAGAGGCCUUCCGGGGGGACGAUCCGUAACUGGUCUGAGAGGGUGAUCAGUCACGAGGGGGUGACGAGCCGGACUGGACCCGAAGGAGGGCCCAGACUGGGAAUGUUGGACACUGUGGGAAAGACUGAUCCAGCCAUGCCGCGUGGGUGAAGAAGGGCUUCGGGUUGGAAAGCGCUUUACGUUGGGAGAAAGGGCAGUAACUUAAACGCUGCCUGUUUGAAGGUAACCAAUAGAAAAAGCACCGGUAAAUAUCUG